This 372-nucleotide ribosomal RNA is filed under the name uncultured organism. RNAcentral's name for it is "partial 16S ribosomal RNA". It matches the Rfam family "Bacterial small subunit ribosomal RNA", at positions 527 to 896 of the family's 1533-position model. The record is from RNAcentral.
GUAGGUGGCAAGCGUUGUCCGGAAUUAUUGGGCGUAAAGCGCGCGCAGGCGGUUCUUUAAGUCUGAUGUGAAAGCCCACGGCUCAACCGUGGAGGGUCAUUGGAAACUGGAGAACUUGAGUACAGAAGAGGAAAGCGGAAUUCCACGUGUAGCGGUGAAAUGCGUAGAGAUGUGGAGGAACACCAGUGGCGAAGGCGGCUUUCUGGUCUGUAACUGACGCUGAGGCGCGAAAGCGUGGGGAGCAAACAGGAUUAGAUACCCUGGUAGUCCACGCCGUAAACGAUGAGUGCUAAGUGUUAGGGGGGUUUCCGCCCCCCUUAGUGCUGCAGCUAACGCAUAAGCACUCCGCCUGGGAGUACGGCCGCAAGGCUG